CCUGUGCCCGAAACUGGAGGAACAAGUGCUGUGUAGGAUGCUCUACUCUGAGUAACAGGUUGGACUUAUUACAAGUAAGAUCCCGUCAGGUGAAAAGGUGGAGUAGUGCCUAAAGCUUAAAACAAUAAAUAAUAAUAAACAAUAAUAAAGCUUGGAAGUAGUUGCCCCUGAGUUGAUGUUGAAAAGCUUUGGAUCUCUUGAAAAGAAAUAGCCCCCCUAGUCUGAAAUUCUGGUUAAAUC
This 240-nucleotide long non-coding RNA is filed under the name Trifolium pratense (red clover). RNAcentral's name for it is "long non-coding RNA (TPRA_LNC008004)". The record is from RNAcentral. Lineage: Eukaryota; Viridiplantae; Streptophyta; Magnoliopsida; Fabales; Fabaceae.